UAUCGAAUCGAUUAUAAAUUAAGCUAGUAGAAAAUUUUUGUGGGCACCUAACCUUAUCUGUUUCUAGGUUUCUCGAAAAUAAAGACACCUGCUUUAGCGCUCUGCAUGAAUCCGCUGAUGUCAGCCGACUCUCCUAGAACCCACUUUCCACCUCUAGAAGGAAAUCUCUCGCUUCGUGCGAUCAUCUCAAACUCUCUCUCUUUUUGCCCUUUUUGCUCCUGAAAAUGCGCUUGUCAUCCUCCAUUGCUACGAUCUCCAAGCUCAUGAUCUCUGACAGAGGCCGCAGAAAACUCCUCCUAGCUUAUCUUACCUCGUGACUGAAGUUACGUUCGUUAGCAUAUGCCAUCCUUCAACGAGAAUGGCCGAAUGCUUGGUGUGUCUCAUCUGCUCUUGCAUGGGUCUGAUGCGGUUCGAUAGGAUAAAUUGUUGAAGGUAUGGCGCUUUCCCCCUGCUAUGGUUUGUAUUUCUGUCUGAACGAAGCAGCUAACACUAUCAACUUGUUCUUUUUCCACGAGUCUCGUGAUAUGACUGGUAACCAUUGGCAUGUCCUUUCAUAUAAUACCGUGUGUGCACCAAGGAAUAGAGCAAACCUACGAAAAAUUCGCGGGUGUUCCCAGAACUUGUAAAGCCCAACUCACAUGCAUCACUAGAUAAGAUGCACUCACAUGGUUUAUUCAUGCAUGUAAGCCGGAGCAUGCAAUACUAGCUUCCCAGAUAUGUACAGAUGUUCUUCAGCUCAGCUUCUGGUUCUAUCUAGGGCUUGUCCUCUUGCCAUCUGAUAAUAAAAGGCAAGAUGGAUCAUAGUGGCAUUAAACAGACAUUGAGGACAUGGAUCUGCCCGGUCUUGAUGGCAGGCAUCUAUGCAAUAUAUUCAUAGUAUAUGGAGACAUGGCACUACCGGAUUCAGCUUGGGGAGAACUAGAAUUGUAGAUUCGACCAAUGUAUGUUAACAUGAGAGAGAGCUCACCUAGUUGAGGACAUCAUAUUCUAGUUGGGUGAAGAUGAGGAUAAUCUAUUUCAUCCAAUGGUAAGAUUUAUGGACUGUUCGGGUGUCCCCAAGUAGAAACUCUCUUACUUUUGCCUCCGAAAAGUCUGGAGUCUGUUUUCGCUCAAAGAAGGCAUGUUGAAUUAUGUUUUACAUGUA
Syzygium oleosum is the source of this 1144-nucleotide long non-coding RNA. RefSeq lists it as uncharacterized. The record is from RefSeq and is a predicted model, not a curated record. The transcript is spliced from 3 exons. Lineage: Eukaryota; Viridiplantae; Streptophyta; Magnoliopsida; Myrtales; Myrtaceae.